UGCUCUGAUGAAAUCAAAAUAGGAAGUGCCGUCAGAAGCGAUAACUGACGAUAACGACCCCUGGCUGACU
Small nucleolar RNA from Choloepus hoffmanni (Hoffmann's two-fingered sloth), 70 nucleotides. Ensembl annotates it as small nucleolar RNA, C/D box 49A. The record is from Ensembl. NCBI's taxonomy places the organism in Eukaryota, Metazoa, Chordata, Mammalia, Pilosa, Megalonychidae.